RNAcentral lists this long non-coding RNA (415 nucleotides) under Pongo abelii (Sumatran orangutan). RNAcentral describes it as "lincRNA". The record is from RNAcentral. Lineage: Eukaryota; Metazoa; Chordata; Mammalia; Primates; Hominidae.
CAGUAGAAAACGGAUGAACAAACCUAGAUUUCUUCCUGCGUGAAUCCAGUUGAGGAGAAGGUAUAAAAUUUUCAAAUGGAGGAGUGUACCUGAACCUAAUCAUGGAUGUGAUUUUAUGUAAGUAAUAUGUGAGAUACAGAUAAGCUGAUUCUAAAACUUACAAGAAUGGCAAAGAAACAAGAAGAGCUUAACUGCAAUCAUCGACACAGAAGCCUUCUGUGACCAAAGUGAAGACUGAAGCCCUAGGCUAUGGCAGAAGUUGGGCGCCUGAAGUACACGUGGAAAUAUGCCAACUGAACAUUGGACUACCACUAACUUGGAUUCUUCCAUCUUUUGAAGUGGAAACUGUCCUAACCCCAUAACCUCGACAUCACUAGACAGGGUCUUGCUUUGUUGCCCUGGUCUUGAACUCCUG